GAUGAACGCUGGCGGCGUGCCUAAUACAUGCAAGUCGAGCGAACGGACGAGAAGCUUGCUUCUCUGAUGUUAGCGGCGGACGGGUGAGUAACACGUGGAUAACCUACCUAUAAGACUGGGAUAACUUCGGGAAACCGGAGCUAAUACCGGAUGAUAUUUUGAACCGCAUGGUUCAAAAGUGAAAGACGGUCUUGCUGUCACUUAUAGAUGGAUCCGCGCUGCAUUAGCUAGUUGGUAAGGUAACGGCUUACCAAGGCAACGAUGCAUAGCCGACCUGAGAGGGUGAGCGGCCACACUGGAACUUAGACACGGACGAGAGUACUACGGGAGGCAGCAGGCGGGAAUAUUGGACAAUGGGCGCGAGCCUUAUCCAGCCAUACCACGUGGAUGAAGAAGGUCUUCGGGUCGUAGAACCCUUUUGUUGGGAAAGAAAAGAAGCCGGUGAAUACCCCGCUGUUCUGACGGUACCCAAAGAAUAAGCACCGGCUAACUUCGUG
Molecule: ribosomal RNA, 497 nt
Filed under: uncultured bacterium
Lineage: Bacteria
Description: partial 16S ribosomal RNA
Rfam family: Bacterial small subunit ribosomal RNA
Source: RNAcentral